This 206-nucleotide ribosomal RNA is filed under the name uncultured bacterium. RNAcentral describes it as "partial 16S ribosomal RNA". It matches the Rfam family "Bacterial small subunit ribosomal RNA", at positions 569 to 774 of the family's 1533-position model. The record is from RNAcentral.
GCGCAGGCGGGAAGGAAAGUCAGACGUGAAAGCCUGGGGCUCAACCUCGGAAUUGCAUUUGAUACUUCCUUUCUUGAGGGUAGGCGGAGAAAACAGAAUUCCACAAGUAGCGGUGAAAUGCGUAGAUAUGUGGAAGAAUACCGGUGGCGAAGGCGGUUUUCUAGCUUAUACCUGACGCUGAGGCCCGAAAGCUAGGGGAGCGAACA